UUGAAGAAAGGGUCUACAAUAGAAGAGAGAUCAAAACAAAUGAAUAGAACAAAGGAACUUAGAAGAAAUGUCAGAAAAACAUCAAGAAAAGGGCAGUAAGAAUGUUAUUUAAAAAUAUGGAGGUAAAUUUCAGAAGAAAAUGCUGAAAAUGUUUGCCUUUGGAAAACGAGAAUCAAGGGUGAGAAUGGAAACAUCUGCGUGAGAAGGGCCCCUCUCAUAAAAUGAAAACAAAGGACAGAAAGCAUUGCUGAGGGCUUAAGGUGUGGAUGAAAUGACACAUUUAAGCUGAAGAAUCCCCAUGUUGACAGCAUUCAAUCCAAGAAAAGCUCCACUGUACACAUGUUCUAACAUAUGAGUGAUCCAAAAGAGAGCUUCACAUACAAUAUCAUAUGCCUACUUUCUCAGCUCAGAGAGAGGGGCUCAGUCAUUCAUAAACUGGAGCAACAUUCAUGUACUGCAGACCACUAUGAGAGACUUAUCUGUCUCCUGUUUACAGAUGUGUACAGCAAGCGCAAAGCACUGCCUGUCCUUUUACUCACAAUCAAUUGCAGAGAACAUGAAGUACAGAAGAGAACAGCUUUUUUUUUCUUUUGGAAAAUCCCUUAAGUCCUUUCCGUGCUGUGCUAUCAUUGUUCAGGUGCUAAAGUGAAAUAAAUGUGUCAUCUAAUCA
RNAcentral lists this long non-coding RNA (670 nucleotides) under Pongo abelii (Sumatran orangutan). Its description in RNAcentral is "lincRNA". The record is from RNAcentral. Lineage: Eukaryota; Metazoa; Chordata; Mammalia; Primates; Hominidae.